UGGGGAAUUUUGGACAAUGGGGGCAACCCUGAUCCAGCAAUGCCGCGUGAGUGAAGAAGGCCUUCGGGUUGUAAAGCUCUUUUGUCAGGGAAGAAACGGUAGUAGCGAAUAACUAUUACUAAUGACGGUACCUGAAGAAUAAGCACCGGCUAACUACGUGCCAGCAGCCGCGGUAAUACGUAGGGUGCAAGCGUUAAUCGGAAUUACUGGGCGUAAAGCGUGCGCAGGCGGUUGUGUAAGUCAGAUGUGAAAUCCCCGGGCUCAACCUGGGAAUUGCAUUUGAGACUGCACGGCUAGAGUGUGUCAGAGGGGGGUAGAAUUCCACGUGUAGCAGUGAAAUGCGUAGAUAUGUGGAGGAAUACCGAUGGCGAAGGCAGCCCCCUGGGAUAACACUGACGCUCAUGCACGAAAGCGUGGGGAGCAAACAGGAUUAGAUACCCGCGUAGUCCUGAGCGGGCUGGCAAGGCGCAU
Molecule: ribosomal RNA, 471 nt
Filed under: uncultured bacterium
Lineage: Bacteria
Description: bacterial SSU rRNA
Rfam family: Bacterial small subunit ribosomal RNA
Source: RNAcentral